Molecule: ribosomal RNA, 507 nt
Filed under: uncultured bacterium
Lineage: Bacteria
Description: partial 16S ribosomal RNA
Source: RNAcentral
GGAGUUAGCCGGUGCUUCUUCUGUGAGUGAUGUCCUUCCUGCCGGUUAUUGACCCGCAGGCCUUCUUCCUCACUGAAAGUGCUUUACAACCCGAAGGCCUUCUUCACACACGCGGCAUGGCUGGAUCAGGGUUGCCCCCAUUGUCCAAUAUUCCCCACUGCUGCCUCCCGUAGGAGUCUGGGCCGUGUCUCAGUCCCAGUGUGGCUGAUCAUCCUCUCAGACCAGCUACGGAUCGUCGCCUUGGUGAGCCGUUACCUCACCAACCAGCUAAUCCUACAUAGGCUCAUCCGAUAGCGCGAGGCCCGAAGGUCCCCCGCUUUCCCCCGUAGGGCGUAUGCGGUAUUAGCCUGGGUUUCCCCAGGUUAUCCCCCACUACCGGGCAGAUUCCUAUGCAUUACUCACCCGUCCGCCGCUCGCCACCAGGGAGCAAGCUCCCCGUGCUGCCGCUCGACUUGCAUGUGUUAGGCCUGCCGCCAGCGUUCAAUCUGAGCCAGAAUCAAACUCUGA